CCUACGGGCGGGCAGCAGUCGAGAAUCAUUCAAAAUGGGGGAAACCCUGAUGGUGCGACGCCGCGUGGGGGAAUGAAGGUCUUCGGAUUGUAAACCCCUGUCAUGUGGGAGCAAAUUAAAAAGAUAGUCCCACAAGAGGAAGAGACGGCUAACUCUGUGCCAGCCACCGCGGUAAUACAGAGGUCUCACGCGUGGUUCGGAAUCACUGGGCGUAAAGCGUGCGUAGGAUGUUUCAUAAGUAGUGGGUGAAAGGCGGGGGCUCAACCCGCGGACGGCACAUGAUACUGCGAGACUGGAGUAAUGGAGGGGGAAGCGGAAUUCUCGGUGUAGCAGUGAAAUGCGUAGAUAUCGGGAGGAACACUCGUGGCGAAGGCGGGUUCCUGGACAUUAACUGACGCUGAGGCACGAAGGCCAGGGGAGCGAAAGGGAUUAGAUACCCCAGUAGUC
Molecule: ribosomal RNA, 447 nt
Filed under: uncultured bacterium
Lineage: Bacteria
Description: partial 16S ribosomal RNA
Rfam family: Bacterial small subunit ribosomal RNA
Source: RNAcentral